RNAcentral lists this ribosomal RNA (375 nucleotides) under uncultured Planctomycetota bacterium. Its description in RNAcentral is "bacterial SSU rRNA". It matches the Rfam family "Bacterial small subunit ribosomal RNA", at positions 521 to 896 of the family's 1533-position model. The record is from RNAcentral. Lineage: Bacteria; Pseudomonadati; Planctomycetota.
UAAUACGUACUGUGCGAACGUUAUUCGGAAUCACUGGGCUUAAAGGGUACGUAGGCGGUUUAUCAAGUCAGGUGUGAAAUGCCUGAGCUCAACUGAGGCACUGCGCUUGAAACUGAUAAACUAGAGUAUUCCAGGGGUGUGCGGAACUGCCAGUGGAGCGGUGAAAUGCGUUGAUAUUGGCAGGAACACCGGAGGCGAAGGCGGCACACUGGGGGAUAACUGACGCUGAGGUACGAAAGCCAGGGUAGCGAACGGGAUUAGAUACCCCGGUAGUCCUGGCUGUAAACGAUGAGCACUGGGCGAGAGGAAGUUCGCUUCUUUUUGCCGUAGGGAAACCAUUAAGUGCUCCGCCUGGGGAGUAUGGUCGCAAGGCUG